Molecule: ribosomal RNA, 253 nt
Filed under: uncultured bacterium
Lineage: Bacteria
Description: partial 16S ribosomal RNA
Rfam family: Bacterial small subunit ribosomal RNA
Source: RNAcentral
UACGAAGGGGGCAAGCGUUGUUCGGAAUUACUGGGCGUAAAGGGCGCGUAGGCGGCUUACCAAGUCAGGCGUGAAAUUCCCGGGCUCAACCUGGGGGCUGCGCUUGAUACUGGUGAGCUUGAAUGCGGGAGAGGAUAGUGGAAUUCCCAGUGUAGAGGUGAAAUUCGUAGAUAUUGGGAAGAACACCGGUGGCGAAGGCGGCUAUCUGGCCCGUAAUUGACGCUGAGGCGCGAAAGCGUGGGGAGCAAACGGG